Molecule: long non-coding RNA, 1116 nt
Filed under: Homo sapiens (human)
Lineage: Eukaryota; Metazoa; Chordata; Mammalia; Primates; Hominidae
Description: HSALNT0310028
Source: RNAcentral
AGUGUGACAGGGCUAGUUCCAAUGAUUCCAAUACAUACUGUCUCCUAAGUCUACAAUCAUAACUAAACCAUUUCAGUCAGAGGGAAAUAGGGAAUAUAGUGGCAAGGAAGCAAAUCACAUAGCAAGAGGGUGACAGAGGUUAAAUCACUACAUCAACAGAGAGUGGUGUAGUAAAGGGAGGAAGGGCUGGGAAAACUGCAUGAGGGUGGAUUACAGAGAGCUCUGAAUGCCAUUCUUGGUAGGAUAAAAUGUGAGAACUGAACCCCAACUGAGAAGGUGCCAAUUAAUUCAGGUGGCACUGACCUGUGAGGCUGAGGAGGUCUUAAUCACCAGAACACUAAAUGCUCAUUAUCCAACCUUUUAAUUAGCAAAGAAACUACCCUGUCUGGAAAAGUUUUCAGCAAAGAACUAAGAUUUGAUCAUGCUGUUAAAGAAAAAAAAAGAAAAGAAAAAAACAAUCCUCUGAUCUCUCCCAGGCAACAAAUCUUGUAUUUCAGAUGUAUGUUUUCAUAUCUUCCAGGUCCCAAUUGGAGAGAAAAUGAGGAAAAGGAGGAACAGAUGGGACUAAAAGCAGAAGGCACCUGAUGAAAGAGAAAAAGCAAGGCUGGGGGAAGGGUGUUUAGAGAAGGACUGGGAGAACAAAAGCAAAGAAUCUGAAAUGAGAGCAUGCUUUCUUCCGUUCCCAUGAACUUCAGAAUGAGCCACAUCUUUACUCAAAGCCUCCUCUGCUAUUUAUAUGUGUGACCUUAGAUUAUAUGAACCUCUGGACUCUGGAGCAUUUUGAGGUCCUGUGGUAAAGGCCUUGGUCAUGUCUGCAUAAAAGUCAGCAUGGGAUAUCCUCAAAGCUGCAAGGCUCCACCUAUGUAGACACUACUGGGAGCAGGAUGCCUGGGAGACGAAGCAGGGCAGCAUAAAUUUUUGUAGCAGAGGCAGCAUCUACAGGGGGUGUCUUUGUGUCUCGGAGGAUUGUUGCAAAAGAGUUCAUAAAUGUGCAGUUCCCUAUCUUCCCCAACCCUUCAAAGAUGGGAAAGAACUUCAUUUAGAUGUUCCAUCCUACCCCGUUUUUUUACUGAUCUGGGCAAUACCAGGUCCCCUUAACACACACACACACACACA